Molecule: ribosomal RNA, 253 nt
Filed under: uncultured bacterium
Lineage: Bacteria
Description: partial 16S ribosomal RNA
Rfam family: Bacterial small subunit ribosomal RNA
Source: RNAcentral
UACAGAGGGUGCGAGCGUUAAUCGGAAUUACUGGGCGUAAAGCGCGCGUAGGUGGCGACGUAAGUCGGGUGUGAAAGCCCCGGGCUCAACCUGGGAAUUGCAUUCGAGACUGCAUUGCUGGAGUACGGAAGAGGAGGGCGGAACUCCCGGUGUAGCGGUGAAAUGCGUAGAUAUCGGGAGGAACAUCAGUGGCGAAGGCGGCCCUCUGGGCCACUACUGACGCUGAGAAGCGAAAGCAUGGGGAGCGAACAGG